GACAACAUGAGAAUAAGUUUUGGAAAAUAAGUUGGAAGUAAAGCUUUAUGACACAUUGAGUGGGACAAAGUCUAUGUUCCCAUUACAAAAUAACUAAUUUACCCAAAUAUCCCUUUCUUCAAGAAGAAAUCCAAUGCUCCCAUUGUAUUCAUUCAGGUCCCAUUUACAUAUCUCAACCAUUCACAUUGGUAUUAGCAUCAUGUGAGAACAUUUAUUCCUCAAUGAUGUUUUCGGAGCAGAAAGAAGGUUAGUCAAUUCUCAAGGUCACAAAAAUGAUGGCUUUAUCCGAUCCACACAUCAGACUAACCAUAUUUCAAAUGCCCAUCCCUUGUGGAACCCCCUCCCUCCUCAGGCCAGGUAUUCUUUGUCAUUUAUUUUACUAAACCCCUACUGGUGUUACAACUGUUUCCCUUUUAUAUAUCUCAGUUUCUUUGAGAACUUGGGUAUUGUAAUAUAUUCAUUCCACUGCCGCGUUCUGUUUCAAUAAUUGUCUUUUCAACUCUACAUCUUAGAGCGCUUCAAAUAGAUCAAUACACCAAUGCUUGUUAGAACAAUGGCAGCAGCAAAUGCACCAGAAUAUAAAGGCAACGAUCCACG
This 597-nucleotide unclassified non-coding RNA is filed under the name Hevea brasiliensis (rubber tree). Lineage: Eukaryota; Viridiplantae; Streptophyta; Magnoliopsida; Malpighiales; Euphorbiaceae. The record is from RNAcentral.